This 586-nucleotide ribosomal RNA is filed under the name uncultured bacterium. RNAcentral's name for it is "partial 16S ribosomal RNA". It matches the Rfam family "Bacterial small subunit ribosomal RNA", at positions 355 to 1375 of the family's 1533-position model. The record is from RNAcentral.
UGGGGAAUUUUGGACAAUGGGCGAAAGCCUGAUCCAGCAAUGCCGCGUGUGUGAAGAAGGCCUUCGGGUUGUAAAGCACUUUUGUCCGGAAAGAAAUCCUUGGCUCUAAUACAGUCGGGGGAUGACGGUACCGGAAGAAUAAGCACCGGCUAACUACGUGCCAGCAGCCGCGGUAAUACGUAGGGUGCAAGCCGUUAAUCGGAAUUACUGGGUGUAAAGCGUGCGCAGGCGGUUUGCUAAGACCGAUGUGAAAUCCCCGGGCUCAACCUGGGAACUGCAUUGGUGACUGGCAGGCUAGAGUAUGGCAGAGGGGGGUAGAAUUCCACGUGUAGCAGUGAAAUGCGUAGAGAUGUGGAGGAAUACCGAUGGCGAAGGCAGCCCCCUGGGCCAAUACUGACGCUCAUGCACGAAAGCGUGGGGAGCAAACAGGAUUAGAUACCCUGGUAGUCCACGCCCUAAACGAUGUCAACUAGUUGUUGGGGAUUCAUUUCCUUAGUAACGUAGCUAACGCGUGAAGUUGACCGCCUGGGGAGUACGGUCGCAAGAUUAAAACUUAAAUGAAUUGACGGGGUCAUAGCUGUUUCCU